UACGUAGGGUCCGAGCGUUGUCCGGAAUUAUUGGGCGUAAAGAGCUCGUAGGCGGUAUGUCGCGUCUGCUGUGAAAGACCGGGGCUUAACUUCGGUUUUGCAGUGGAUACGGGCAUGCUUGAGGUAGGUAGGGGAGACUGGAAUUCCUGGUGUAGCGGUGGAAUGCGCAGAUAUCAGGAGGAACACCGAUGGCGAAGGCGGCUUUCUGGCGCAUAACUGACGCUGAGGCUCGAAAGCGUGGGGAGCGAACAGGAUUAGAUACCCGGGUA
RNAcentral lists this ribosomal RNA (269 nucleotides) under uncultured prokaryote. RNAcentral's name for it is "partial 16S ribosomal RNA". It matches the Rfam family "Bacterial small subunit ribosomal RNA", at positions 524 to 792 of the family's 1533-position model. The record is from RNAcentral.